CCCCGCCUUUCGAAAUGAUGAGAAUUCUCUUGUACCCGUCAAUUCAAUAUAGGAAGAGCCGGAAAAGGUAUGGUCCUCACUUUAUUUUUGAGGAUCGUCGCUGCUUAGAACUGGGACUCUGAAGUCAGGAGAGGGGGAAGAAUUG
RNAcentral lists this small nucleolar RNA (145 nucleotides) under Macrophomina phaseolina MS6. Its description in RNAcentral is "A. fumigatus snoRNA Afu_198". It matches the Rfam family "A. fumigatus snoRNA Afu_198". Lineage: Eukaryota; Fungi; Ascomycota; Dothideomycetes; Botryosphaeriales; Botryosphaeriaceae. The record is from Rfam by way of RNAcentral.